UACGAGAGGCCCAAACGUUAUUCGGAUUUACUGGGCUUAAAGAGUUCGUAGGCGGCGCAGAAAGUAGGGUGUGGAAGCCCUCGGCUCAACCGAGGAAUUGCGCUCUAAACUACUGCGCUCGAGGAACCUAGAGGUGAGCAGAACUGAUGGUGGAGCGGUGAAAUGCGUUGAUAUCAUCAGGAAUACCGGAGGCGAAGGCGGCUCACUGGGGGUUUUCUGACGCUGAGGAACGAAAGCCAGGGGAGCGAACGGG
Molecule: ribosomal RNA, 253 nt
Filed under: uncultured bacterium
Lineage: Bacteria
Description: partial 16S ribosomal RNA
Rfam family: Bacterial small subunit ribosomal RNA
Source: RNAcentral